Long non-coding RNA from Cyprinus carpio carpio, 1380 nucleotides. NCBI's taxonomy places the organism in Eukaryota, Metazoa, Chordata, Actinopteri, Cypriniformes, Cyprinidae. The record is from Ensembl.
CCUUAGAAUCUCAAUCAACCAAUCAGAUUCAAGCAUUCAACAGCCCUGUAGUAGAUUAUAAUCCAUAAUAACACUUCCUCCAGUGAAAAAGUGCAUCUCCUGCUGUCUCUCACAUCAGAAUCCAGACACAUAUUUGUUUAGAGCUGUUUAAACACUGCUUGAUCUGUGCAGAUUUCUCUCCUGAUUCACACCAGAACACUUUUUCACUGGAGGAAGUGUUAUUAUGAAUAGAGGGCUCUCUUAAAAACAUCUGAAUGCUGGAUGUGUUUCAUCUUUUGUCUUCUCCAGAUGUUCACUGAUGGACUGGAGUGCUGUUGAUUAUUGUGAUGUUUUUAUCAGCUGUUUGGACUCUCAUUCUGACGGCACCCAUUCAUGAGUACUCCAUCAGUGAACAUCUGGAGAAGACAAAAGAUGAAACAAAUCCAGCGUUCAGAUGUUUUUUACUCAAAUACAUAGAGUCUAUAAUCCAUAAUAACACUUCCUCCAGUGAAAAAGUGCAUCUGCUGUUGUCUCUCACAUCAAAAUCCAGUCACAUAUUUGUUUAGAGCUGUUUAAACGCUGCUUGAUCUGUGCAGAUUUCUCUCCUGAUUCAGACCAGAACACUUUUUCACUGGAGGAAGUGUUAUUAUGGACUCUUAAAAACAUCUUAAUGCUGGAUGUGUUUCAUCUUUUGUCUUCUCCAGAUGUUCACUGAUGGACUGGAGUGCUGUGGAUUACUUGUGGAUUAUUGUGAUGUUUUUAUCAGCUGUUUGGACUCUCAUUCUGACGGCACCCAUUCACUGCAGAGCAUCCAUUGCUGAGACACUGAUGCAAUGCUACAUUUCAACAAAUCUGAUGAAGAAACAAACUCAUCCUAAUCUCAGAUGAACUGAGGAUGAGCACAUUUUUAGCAAAUUUCCAAUUUUGAGUGAACUAUACAAAUGUUCAUUUUAAAAUGCAUUGUCAAAUGCUGAAAUUUUACAUGAAUGAAGAUUAUUAAAUGCUUUAUAAGUGUUUACCUUCAUUAGUUCAUGUUCACGAUUGUAGUUAACUAAUGUUAACCAGUGGAAGUUUUCUGACUGAACAGUGGCUCUGUGCUGAAGGAUGAUGAAGAGCGGCUGGGUUCAGAUCGAUGGUAAAGACUGGAGGAGAGGGUUUGAGGACACGGGGACGCUGCACGUGAGUCACACGUCCUUCUACACAUCAGCACGCCACACACCUCUCUCUGCUGCUUUAUUCUUGUUCUUUAUGGGGUCGUGAAACUGAUAACUGGUGACAAUUUGAACCAUCACAGAAAAUGAGAAAGAGAGGUAAAAAAAUGACUAUAAUCAGAGAAGAUGAACAGAGCAGUGUUGAAGAGAAACUAGCAACAUGCAGCCAUGUGACUACGUUCACUAGAUU